CUCCACUCCAUCGUCGCCUCCUCUGUGCCAUCGUCGAUCAACAUGGCCAAAGAAGAUCCCCUAGUUCCAAAUCUCCCAAAUCAACAUGGCUGAAGCAGAUCUACUUGUAUGGUAAAGAAAUACAAUCGAAGAAGAGAGAUGGGAAGGAGAUCAUAUUGAGUCCAUCAAAGGAGCUUCUUUGUAAGAGAGUGAUGUUGGUGUUUGAAUAGCUAAGAGAACGUCAAGAAUCUUGAGCUUAUGAAACUUUGGAUUGAGGUUCACAAGAAUUGAGAGAUUGUCUUGGGUUUUGGCAUUGAGAGAGACAAAGAAGAAACUAAUUGGUGGUUGAUUUAUAUUCAUCAAAGUUGAAAUCUUUGCUUAUUGAGAAAAGAGAAUUUGGGAAAGAUGAGGAAUGAAGUUGAAAGAGAAGAGAAAACUGUCACUUAACAUUGUAAUUUUCUUUGGCAUGCUUAAUUUUCUCUGUCAUGUGUAAUUUUUUCUAGAAUACUUAAUUUUCUCUAGUUUGAACCCAGAGAAAUUCUUGCGAAAAUCAGAGAAAUUUUCUAGAAGCAAUCCAGAGAAAUUUUGUAAAUGGUUUUCUGAAAUUAAAGUUCAAUUAUGAAAAUUUGAGCAGUUUAGAUGA
This is a non-coding RNA of Camellia sinensis, 622 nucleotides long. The record is from RefSeq and is a predicted model, not a curated record. Lineage: Eukaryota; Viridiplantae; Streptophyta; Magnoliopsida; Ericales; Theaceae.